Molecule: transfer RNA, 77 nt
Filed under: Filobacillus milosensis
Lineage: Bacteria; Bacillati; Bacillota; Bacilli; Caryophanales; Bacillaceae
Also listed under: 3 other names
Description: tRNA-Thr
Rfam family: tRNA
About the family: Transfer RNA (tRNA) molecules are approximately 80 nucleotides in length.
Source: RNAcentral
GCCGGCCUAGCUCAAUCUGGCAGAGCAACUGACUUGUAAUCAGUAGGUUGGGGGUUCGAGUCCCUCGGCCGGCACCA